UUCUACGGGGGGCAGCAGUGGGGAAUAUUGCACAAUGGGCGAAAGCCUGAUGCAGCGACGCCGCGUGAGGGAUGACGGCCUUCGGGUUGUAAACCUCUUUCAGCAGGGACGAAGCGCAAGUGACGGUACCUGCAGAAGAAGCACCGGCUAACUACGUGCCAGCAGCCGCGGUAAU
This 175-nucleotide ribosomal RNA is filed under the name uncultured Rhodococcus sp. RNAcentral's name for it is "partial 16S ribosomal RNA". It matches the Rfam family "Bacterial small subunit ribosomal RNA", at positions 337 to 524 of the family's 1533-position model. The record is from RNAcentral. Lineage: Bacteria; Bacillati; Actinomycetota; Actinomycetes; Mycobacteriales; Nocardiaceae.